GUGGGGAAUAUUGGACAAUGGGCGGAAGCCUGAUCCAGCCAUGCCGCGUGUGUGAAGAAGGCCUUUUGGUUGUAAAGCACUUUAAGCGAGGAGGAGGCUCCUUUAGUUAAUACCUAAAGUGAGUGGACGUUACUCGCAGAAUAAGCACCGGCUAACUCUGUGCCAGCAGCCGCGGUAAUACAGAGGGUGCGAGCGUUAAUCGGAUUUACUGGGCGUAAAGCGUGCGUAGGCGGCUUUUUAAGUCGGAUGUGAAAUCCCUGAGCUUAACUUAGGAAUUGCAUUCGAUACUGGAAAGCUAGAGUAUGGGAGAGGAUGGUAGAAUUCCAGGUGUAGCGGUGAAAUGCGUAGAGAUCUGGAGGAAUACCGAUGGCGAAGGCAGCCAUCUGGCCUAAUACUGACGCUGAGGUACGAAAGCAUGGGGAGCAAACAGGAUUAGAAACCCGGGUAGUCC
This 451-nucleotide ribosomal RNA is filed under the name uncultured bacterium. RNAcentral describes it as "partial 16S ribosomal RNA". It matches the Rfam family "Bacterial small subunit ribosomal RNA", at positions 354 to 796 of the family's 1533-position model. The record is from RNAcentral.